CGAGCACCUUCCGGACACUCUUCGUACCGCGAUUCGCGUCUUUUCCACGUGAAAACUAUUUAUUAACGUGAGUUUUCCGCUGAUAUUUCCUUCACAUUCUCCUGAAAGUUAUCCGCGCUGUUCUUGUGCUGUUUGUGAGAACGUUUCUGUUUAUGCUUCUGUGAAUAUUCCUGAAGAAAUCUUCGGCAAUUCGCUGAGUGCACGGAAAGUGGAUAUUAAAGACAAAACCGUAAACGAUUUGACGUUAGUUCUGCAGAUGCGCCCCUUGGUUCACCGAAAUACGCUAUAAAA
Molecule: long non-coding RNA, 291 nt
Organism: Nicrophorus vespilloides
Lineage: Eukaryota; Metazoa; Arthropoda; Insecta; Coleoptera; Silphidae
Exons: 3
Source: RefSeq, a predicted model, not a curated record